This 484-nucleotide ribosomal RNA is filed under the name uncultured bacterium. RNAcentral describes it as "partial 16S ribosomal RNA". It matches the Rfam family "Bacterial small subunit ribosomal RNA", at positions 28 to 507 of the family's 1533-position model. The record is from RNAcentral.
AUUGAACGCUGGCGGCAUGCUUUACACAUGCAAGUCGAACGGCAGCGCGGGCUUCGGCCUGGCGGCGAGUGGCGAACGGGUGAGUAAUGCAUCGGAACGUGCCCUGCAGUGGGGGAUAGCCCGGCGAAAGCCGGAUUAAUACCGCAUCCGACCUGAGGGUGAAAGCGGGGGUCCGAAAGGCCUCGCGCUAUUGGCUCUGCCGUUGUCGGAUUAGCUAGUUGGUGGGGUAAAGGCUUACCAAGGCGACGAUCCGUAGCUGAUCUGAGAGGACGACCAGCCACACUGGGACUGAGACACGGCCCAGACUCCUACGGGAGGCAGCAGUGGGGAAUUUUGGACAAUGGGGGCAAGCCUGAUCCAGCCAUGCCGCGUGCGGGAAGAAGGCCUUCGGGUUGUAAAACGCUUUUGUUCAGGAAGAAAACCUCUGGGCUAAUACCCCGGGGGGAUGACGGUACCGGAAGAAUAAGCACCGGCUAACUACGUG